GAGAGUUUGAUCCUGGCUCAGAUUGAACGCUGGCGGCAGGCCUAACACAUGCAAGUCGAGCGGUAGCACAGAGAGCUUGCUCUCGGGUGACGAGCGGCGGACGGGUGAGUAAUGUCUGGGAAACUGCCUGAUGGAGGGGGAUAACUACUGGAAACGGUAGCUAAUACCGCAUAAUGUCGCAAGACCAAAGUGGGGGACCUUCGGGCCUCAUGCCAUCAGAUGUGCCCAGAUGGGAUUAGCUAGUAGGUGGGGUAACGGCUCACCUAGGCGACGAUCCCUAGCUGGUCUGAGAGGAUGACCAGCCACACUGGAACUGAGACACGGUCCAGACUCCUACGGGAGGCAGCAGUGGGGAAUAUUGCACAAUGGGCGCAAGCCUGAUGCAGCCAUGCCGCGUGUGUGAAGAAGGCCUUCGGGUUGUAAAGCACUUUCAGCGGGGAGGAAGGCGGUGAGGUUAAUAACCUCAUCGAUUGACGUUACCCGCAGAAGAAGCACCGGCUAACUCCGUGCCAGCAGCCGCGGUAAUACGGAGGGUGCAAGCGUUAAUCGGAAUUACUGGGCGUAAAGCGCACGCAGGCGGUCUGUCAAGUCGGAUGUGAAAUCCCCGGGCUCAACCUGGGAACUGCAUUCGAAACUGGCAGGCUAGAGUCUUGUAGAGGGGGGUAGAAUUCCAGGUGUAGCGGUGAAAUGCGUAGAGAUCUGGAGGAAUACCGGUGGCGAAGGCGGCCCCCUGGACAAAGACUGACGCUCAGGUGCGAAAGCGUGGGGAGCAAACAGGAUUAGAUACCCUGGUAGUCCACGCCGUAAACGAUGUCGAUUUGGAGGUUGUGCCCUUGAGGCGUGGCUUCCGGAGCUAACGCGUUAAAUCGACCGCCUGGGGAGUACGGCCGCAAGGUUAAAACUCAAAUGAAUUGACGGGGGCCCGCACAAGCGGUGGAGCAUGUGGUUUAAUUCGAUGCAACGCGAAGAACCUUACCUGGUCUUGACAUCCACAGAACUUUCCAGAGAUGGAUUGGUGCCUUCGGGAACUGUGAGACAGGUGCUGCAUGGCUGUCGUCAGCUCGUGUUGUGAAAUGUUGGGUUAAGUCCCGCAACGAGCGCAACCCUUAUCCUUUGUUGCCAGCGGUUAGGCCGGGAACUCAAAGGAGACUGCCAGUGAUAAACUGGAGGAAGGUGGGGAUGACGUCAAGUCAUCAUGGCCCUUACGACCAGGGCUACACACGUGCUACAAUGGCAUAUACAAAGAGAAGCGACCUCGCGAGAGCAAGCGGACCUCAUAAAGUAUGUCGUAGUCCGGAUUGGAGUCUGCAACUCGACUCCAUGAAGUCGGAAUCGCUAGUAAUCGUAGAUCAGAAUGCUACGGUGAAUACGUUCCCGGGCCUUGUACACACCGCCCGUCACACCAUGGGAGUGGGUUGCAAAAGAAGUAGGUAGCUUAACCUUCGGGAGGGCGCUUACCACUUUGUGAUUCAUGACUGGGGUGAAGUCGUAACAAGGUAACCG
This 1503-nucleotide ribosomal RNA is filed under the name uncultured bacterium. Its description in RNAcentral is "bacterial SSU rRNA". It matches the Rfam family "Bacterial small subunit ribosomal RNA". The record is from RNAcentral.